GGGUUGUGAGGUUAAGCGACUAAGCGUACACGGUGGAUGCCCUGGCAGUCAGAGGCGAUGAAGGGCGUGCUAAUCUGCGAUAAGCGCCGGUAAGGUGAUAUGAACCGUUAUAACCGGCGAUACCCGAAUGGGGAAACCCAGUGUGACUCGUCACACUAUCAUUAACUGAAUCCAUAGGUUAAUGAGGCGAACCGGGGGAACUGAAACAUCUAAGUACCCCGAGGAAAAGAAAUCAACCGAGAUUCCCCCAGUAGCGGCGAGCGAACGGGGAGGAGCCCAGAGCCUGAAUCAGCAUGUGUGUUAGUGGAAGCGUCUGGAAAGGCGCGCGAUACAGGGUGACAGCCCCGUACACAAAAGCGCAUGUGCUGUGAGCUCGAUGAGUAGGGCGGGACACGUGGUAUCCUGUCUGAAUAUGGGGGGACCAUCCUCCAAGGCUAAAUACUCCUGACUGACCGAUAGUGAACCAGUACCGUGAGGGAAAGGCGAAAAGAACCCCGGCGAGGGGA
Molecule: ribosomal RNA, 506 nt
Filed under: Salmonella enterica subsp. enterica serovar Derby
Lineage: Bacteria; Pseudomonadati; Pseudomonadota; Gammaproteobacteria; Enterobacterales; Enterobacteriaceae
Description: partial 23S ribosomal RNA
Rfam family: Bacterial large subunit ribosomal RNA
Source: RNAcentral